CCUACGGGAGGCAGCAGUGGGGAAUAUUGGGCAAUGGACGCAACUCUUACCCAGCCAUGCCGCGUGAAUGAAGAAGGUCUUCGGAUUGUAAAGUUCUUUAAUUGGGGACGAAAAAAAUGACGGUACCCAAGGAAUAAGCUCCGGCUAACUACGUGCCAGCGGCCCCGGCAAUACGUAGGGGGCAAGCGUUGUUCGGAAUGACUGGGCGUAAAGGGUGUGUAGGCGGUGUAGCAAGCUCGAAGUGAAAUACCUAGGGCUUAACUCAGGUGCUGCUUCUAAAACUGCGAUACUUGAGUGCAGGAGAGGAAAGUGGAAUUCCUAGUGUAGCGGUGGAAUGCGUAGAUAUUAGGAGGAACAUCAGUGGCGAAGGCGACUUUCUGGACUGUAACUGACGCUGAGGCACGAAAGUGUGGGGAGCAAACAGGAUUAGAUACCCCAGUAGUC
Molecule: ribosomal RNA, 444 nt
Filed under: uncultured bacterium
Lineage: Bacteria
Description: partial 16S ribosomal RNA
Rfam family: Bacterial small subunit ribosomal RNA
Source: RNAcentral